UACGGGGGGGGCAAGCGUUAUCCGGAUUCACUGGGUUUAAAGGGUGCGUAGGAGGGCAGGUAAGUCAGUGGUGAAAUCUCCAAGCUUAACUUGGAAACUGCCGUUGAUACUAUCUGUCUUGAAUAUUGUGGAGGUGAGCGGAAUAUGUCAUGUAGCGGUGAAAUGCUUAGAUAUGACAUAGAACACCAAUUGCGAAGGCAGCUCACUACUCAAUCAUUGACUCUGAGGCACGAAAGCGUGGGGAGCGAACAGG
This 253-nucleotide ribosomal RNA is filed under the name uncultured bacterium. RNAcentral's name for it is "partial 16S ribosomal RNA". It matches the Rfam family "Bacterial small subunit ribosomal RNA", at positions 524 to 776 of the family's 1533-position model. The record is from RNAcentral.